UUUUCCCCGUGGAACUAACAUAUCAAUAAGCGGAGGAAAAGAAACUAACAAGGAUUCCCCUAGUAACUGCGAGUGAAGCGGGAAAAGCUCAAAUUUAAAAUCUGGCAGUCUCUGGCUGUCCGAGUUGUAAUCUAGAGAAGUAAUGCCCGUGCUGGACCGUGUAUAAGUCUCCUGGGAUGGGGCGUCAUAGAGGGUGAGAAUCCCGUCUUUGACACGGACUACCAGUGCAUUGUGGUAUGCUCUCAAAGAGUCGAGUUGUUUGGGAAUGCAGCUCAAAAUGGGUGGUAAAUUCCAUCUAAAGCUAAAUAUUGGCGAGAGACCGAUAGCGAACAAGUACCGUGAGGGAAAGAUGAAAAGAACUUUGGAAAGAGAGUUAAACAGUACGUGAAAUUGCUGAAAGGGAAACGCUUGAAGUCAGUCGCGUUGGCCGGGAAUCAGCCUUGCUUUUGCAUGGUGUACUUUCUGGUUGACGGGUCAGCAUCAAUUUUGACCGCUGGAAAAAGACCUGGGGAAUGUGGCAGCUUCGGCUGUGUUAUAGCCCCUAGUCGCAUACAGUGGUUGGGAUUGAGGAACUCAGCACGCCGCAAGGCCGGGUUUCGACCACGUUCGUGCUUAGGAUGCUGGCAUAAUGGCUUUAAGCGACCCGUCUUGAAACACGGACCAAGGAGUCUAACAUGCCUGCGAGUAUUUGGGUGGAAAACCCAAGUGCGUAAUGAAAGUGAAAGUUGAGAUCCCUGUCGUGGGGAGCAUCGACGCCCGGACCAGAACUUUUGGGACGGAUCCGCGGUGGAGCAUGUAUGUUGGGACCCGAAAGAUGGUGAACUAUGCCUGAAUAGGGUGAAGCCAGAGGAAACUCUGGUGGAGGCUCGUAGCGAUUCUGACGUGCAAAUCGAUCGUCAAAUUUGGGUAUAGGGGCGAAAGACUAAUCGAACCAUCUAGUAGCUGGUUCCUGCCGAAUUC
This 960-nucleotide ribosomal RNA is filed under the name Agaricus sp. RNAcentral describes it as "LSU rRNA". It matches the Rfam family "Eukaryotic large subunit ribosomal RNA", at positions 24 to 968 of the family's 3401-position model. Lineage: Eukaryota; Fungi; Basidiomycota; Agaricomycetes; Agaricales; Agaricaceae. The record is from RNAcentral.